Molecule: long non-coding RNA, 495 nt
Organism: Frieseomelitta varia
Lineage: Eukaryota; Metazoa; Arthropoda; Insecta; Hymenoptera; Apidae
Exons: 2
Source: RefSeq, a predicted model, not a curated record
AUUGUUCGUAUUCAUUGGAUCUAGGAUCUCUUGGAUCUAGGAAAUAUCUGCAAAAACUUAAAAGUGAAUUCGUGUUUCGAAGUCAUAACGUACAGCAGAUUUAGCAAAAGCCUCGUUCUUUCUUUAAAUUUUCACGGUCAACGAAUAGAUGAAGGACAUAUUGACAAUGAAUGAAUUAUAUGAUUAUAUGCCUUUCACUACAUCGAAUUACACGCAUCCCUUCAGCUUCGAAGAAAACUUCGAUUACAAGCAGUCACAAAUAUGGAUGAAGGACCAUUUUCCAUACUGUUUUUUGUAUUGUGCUCUUUAUGCAAUCCUAAUUUUUGGUGGGAAGCAUUACAUGUCAAAUAGACCAAAAUACAAUCUAAGGCGCGUGCUUGUAUUGUGGAAUGCAAGUCUUGCAUUGUUCUCCAUUAUUACCGUGUACAGAAUUAUGCCGAUUACAUUGCAUCUACUACAACAUCAUGGGUUUUACUACACCACCUGUGUGGCUGG